GACGAACGCUGGCGGCGUGCUUAACACAUGCAAGUCGAACGGAAAGGCCCUGCUUUUGUGGGGUGCUCGAGUGGCGAACGGGUGAGUAACACGUGAGUAACCUGCCCUUGACUUUGGGAUAACUUCAGGAAACUGGGGCUAAUACCGGAUAGGAGCUCCUGCUGCAUGGUGGGGGUUGGAAAGUUUCGGCGGUUGGGGAUGGACUCGCGGCUUAUCAGCUUGUUGGUGGGGUAGUGGCUUACCAAGGCUUUGACGGGUAGCCGGCCUGAGAGGGUGACCGGCCCCCUUGGGACUGGGAUACGGCCCGGACUCCUACCGGAGGGAAGAGGGGGGAAUGGUGCAUUAUGGGCGGAAGGCUGAUGCAGCAACGCCGCGUGCGGGAUGACGGCCUUCGGGUUGUAAACCGCUUUCGCCUGUGACGAAGCGUGAGUGACGGUAAUGGGUAAAGAAGCACCGGCUAACUACGUG
RNAcentral lists this ribosomal RNA (468 nucleotides) under uncultured bacterium. RNAcentral describes it as "partial 16S ribosomal RNA". It matches the Rfam family "Bacterial small subunit ribosomal RNA", at positions 28 to 507 of the family's 1533-position model. The record is from RNAcentral.